RNAcentral lists this long non-coding RNA (688 nucleotides) under Macaca fascicularis (crab-eating macaque). RNAcentral's name for it is "lncRNA (ENSMFAG00000061845.1)". Lineage: Eukaryota; Metazoa; Chordata; Mammalia; Primates; Cercopithecidae. The record is from RNAcentral.
UUCAAAUUGGAGGCUCUACUUUUUAAGCCAAGUGUUGGCCUGUUUCCUACCUCCAUUGGGUAACUAAUCCUGGUUGGUUUUCUUUGCAAGCCUUCUCUCCCACAGGUGAACCAUUACCAAGGACUCUGCCACUUAAAAUCCUUCUGAAAAAAUGCCACUCUCUGCCCAUCUCACAGAGUAUCCCCAUGGAGCUGGACCAAGUGGGCUGGAGGAGACCUAUGAUGCUUUGCAUUGGUAAAUUGUACUAGGCCCCGAAGAUGCUAGAAAUCCGCAAGAACAUUGGAGACUACUGGAAGCUCCGGGAACCAGGAAACAAGCCAGUUAAUGAAAAAUUUCUUCAGCCGGGAGCACACCCAAGACGGCCGAAUAGGAACACCUCCAGCCUCCAGCUUCCAGCAUGAGUGACACAGAAGACGGGUGAUUUCUGCAUUUUCAACUGAGGUACUGGGUUCAUCUCCCUGGGGAGUUCCAGACAAUUGGUGCUGGUCAGCUGCUGCAGCCCGACCAGCGAGAGCUGAAGCAGGGUGAGGCAUUGCCGCACCUGGGAAGAACAAGGGGGAAGCAAAACCCUUUUCCUAGCCAAGGGAAACUGAGACACACAACAUCUGGAAAAUCGGGUAACUCCCACCCUAAUACUGUGCUUUACCAAGGGUCAUAGCAAAUGGCACACCAGGAGAUUAUAUCCCAC